GUCCAGAUGACUAUUCCCAAAUAGGACGAAACGCGCGUCCUGGAU
Schistosoma haematobium is the source of this 45-nucleotide non-coding RNA. The record is from Rfam. Lineage: Eukaryota; Metazoa; Platyhelminthes; Trematoda; Strigeidida; Schistosomatidae.